CAGUAGCCGCGGUAAUACGAAGGGGGCUAGCGUUGCUCGGAAUCACUGGGCGUAAAGGGUGCGUGGGCGGGUUUUUAAGUCAGGGGUGAAAACCUGCGGCUCAACCGCAGGCCUGCCUUUGAAACUGUAAGGCUGGAGUACCGGAGAGGUGGACGGAACUGCACGAGUAGAGGUGAAAUUCGUAGAUAUGUGCAGGAAUGCCGAUGAUGAAGAUAGUCCACUGGACGGAAACUGACGCUGAAGUGCGAAAGCCGGGGGAGCGAACAGGAUUAGAUACCCCCGUAGUCCCUGUCUCUUAUAC
Molecule: ribosomal RNA, 301 nt
Filed under: uncultured bacterium
Lineage: Bacteria
Description: partial 16S ribosomal RNA
Rfam family: Bacterial small subunit ribosomal RNA
Source: RNAcentral